AUUGAACGCUGGCGGCAGGCCUAACACAUGCAAGUCGAGCGGAUGAAGGGAGCUUGCUCCUGGAUUCAGCGGCGGACGGGUGAGUAAUUCCUAGGAAUCUGCCUUGUAGUUGGGGAUAACGUCCGUAAACGGGCGCUAAUACCGCAUCCGUCCUGAUGGAGAAAGUGGUGGAUCUUCGGACCUCACGCUUUCAGAUGAGCCUAGGUCGGAUUAGCUAGUUGGUGGGGUCAAGUCCUACCAAGGCGACGGUCCGUAACUGGUCUGAGAGGAUGAUCAGUCACACUGGAACUGAGACACGGUCCAGACUCCUACGGGAGGCAGCAGUGGGGAAUAUUGGAAUAUGGGCGAAAGCCAGAUACAGCCAUGCCGCGUGUGAAGAAGGUCUUCGGAUUGUAAAGCUCUUUAAGUUGGGAGGAAGGGCAGUAAGUUAAUAUAUUGCUGUUUUGACGUUACCAACAGAAUAAGCCCCGGCUAACUUCGUG
RNAcentral lists this ribosomal RNA (482 nucleotides) under uncultured bacterium. RNAcentral describes it as "partial 16S ribosomal RNA". It matches the Rfam family "Bacterial small subunit ribosomal RNA", at positions 30 to 507 of the family's 1533-position model. The record is from RNAcentral.